This 872-nucleotide long non-coding RNA is filed under the name Lonchura striata (white-rumped munia). Its description in RNAcentral is "domestica (Bengalese finch) lncRNA (ENSLSDG00000008473.1)". Lineage: Eukaryota; Metazoa; Chordata; Aves; Passeriformes; Estrildidae. The record is from RNAcentral.
CGGCCCCCGGCUCCCCCGCCCUCCCGCUCCCCGAGCUGCACCAAACAGCUCUCAGGUUUCUGCUGAUGCUGCAGCGUCAAGAAAUGGCUGGAGUUUGCUCCUCGCUCUUAUGCGUUCAGCAGCCCUGUCCAGCUCCUGCCUCCUCCUGCCUCCGCCGCUGCUGCUGCCGGGACGAGCCAAGCCCGACUCCGGGGAUGCGGCUGCAGGGCUGCGGCGCUCUGACAUCUCCGCCGCCGCCGCUAACCAGCGCCCGGCUCCUUUUCCAGCUGUCCUAAGGGAGGAGAGCUGGACAGCCAGCAGCUAUCUAAGACUCCUUGAUUUUACUGACUAACUCAAGCCUUUUGGAAAAGUGUCUCGCAGGCAGCCCUGUAAAGCGAUCGCUGCGUUAUAAAGAGGGGCGCAAGAGGAGGAGGGUUAAGUUUGCCACUGCGGUUUUUGUUUUGUUUUGGUUUUGUUUUUUUUUUUGGAUGCUGCUGCAAGGCGACUUGACGCAUUCCGGCACUGGCUCCUACUCCUAAGCGGCGCGUCUCACCCGGAGCAGCUUCGUGGCAGCAGCUGCGGCGAUGGUCGAGCCAGCGAGAAAAGUGGACGGAUCGAGUUAAAGGCUAAAGGAGACGGCUGGGGAGGGGAACCCCAGCCUGGGGGUGCACUCCAUAGACCUUCAGCCUCCCGGUGUGGGGGACAGGACCCCUCACCUUACCUGCCCUCUGCCCCCCCUAAAGGCUCCACUUCCACCCCUUCCUCAAGCUCCCCAUCCCACCUUGACCCCCUCACCCUUGCAUCGCCCUGGGUCUCCCUGUGCUCCUCCAUCCUCCUCCUCCUCCUCCUCCUCCUCCUCCUCCCUUUCCCUCACUUCUCCCCUGCCCCUUGGU